This 1378-nucleotide ribosomal RNA is filed under the name Klebsiella pneumoniae. RNAcentral describes it as "bacterial LSU rRNA". It matches the Rfam family "Bacterial large subunit ribosomal RNA", at positions 1570 to 2925 of the family's 2925-position model. The record is from RNAcentral. Lineage: Bacteria; Pseudomonadati; Pseudomonadota; Gammaproteobacteria; Enterobacterales; Enterobacteriaceae.
CGAGGUACUACGGUACUGAAGUAACAAAUGCCCUGCUUCCAGGAAAAGCCUCUAAGCAUCAGGUAACAUCAAAUCGUACCCCAAACCGACACAGGUGGUCAGGUAGAGAAUACCAAGGCGCUUGAGAGAACUCGGGUGAAGGAACUAGGCAAAAUGGUGCCGUAACUUCGGGAGAAGGCACGCUGGUGUGUAGGUGAAGUCCCUGCGGAUGGAGCUGAGACCAGUCGAAGAUACCAGCUGGCUGCAACUGUUUAUUAAAAACACAGCACUGUGCAAACACGAAAGUGGACGUAUACGGUGUGACGCCUGCCCGGUGCCGGAAGGUUAAUUGAUGGGGUUAUCCGUAAGGAGAAGCUCUUGAUCGAAGCCCCGGUAAACGGCGGCCGUAACUAUAACGGUCCUAAGGUAGCGAAAUUCCUUGUCGGGUAAGUUCCGACCUGCACGAAUGGCGUAAUGAUGGCCAGGCUGUCUCCACCCGAGACUCAGUGAAAUUGAACUCGCUGUGAAGAUGCAGUGUACCCGCGGCAAGACGGAAAGACCCCGUGAACCUUUACUAUAGCUUGACACUGAACAUUGAGCCUUGAUGUGUAGGAUAGGUGGGAGGCUUUGAAGCGUGGACGCCAGUCUGCGUGGAGCCAACCUUGAAAUACCACCCUUUAAUGUUUGAUGUUCUAACGUGGGCCCCUGACCGGGGUUGCGGACAGUGUCUGGUGGGUAGUUUGACUGGGGCGGUCUCCUCCCAAAGCGUAACGGAGGAGCACGAAGGUUAGCUAAUCCUGGUCGGACAUCAGGAGGUUAGUGCAAUGGCAUAAGCUAGCUUGACUGCGAGCGUGACGGCGCGAGCAGGUGCGAAAGCAGGUCAUAGUGAUCCGGUGGUUCUGAAUGGAAGGGCCAUCGCUCAACGGAUAAAAGGUACUCCGGGGAUAACAGGCUGAUACCGCCCAAGAGUUCAUAUCGACGGCGGUGUUUGGCACCUCGAUGUCGGCUCAUCACAUCCUGGGGCUGAAGUAGGUCCCAAGGGUAUGGCUGUUCGCCAUUUAAAGUGGUACGCGAGCUGGGUUUAGAACGUCGUGAGACAGUUCGGUCCCUAUCUGCCGUGGGCGCUGGAGAAUUGAGGGGGGCUGCUCCUAGUACGAGAGGACCGGAGUGGACGCAUCACUGGUGUUCGGGUUGUCAUGCCAAUGGCACUGCCCGGUAGCUAAAUGCGGAAGAGAUAAGUGCUGAAAGCAUCUAAGCACGAAACUUGCCCCGAGAUGAGUUCUCCCUGAGACUUUAAGUCUCCUGAAGGAACGUUGAAGACGACGACGUUGAUAGGCCGGGUGUGUAAGCGCAGCGAUGCGUUGAGCUAACCGGUACUAAUGAACCGUGAGGCUUAACC